UAUAAAGCAGAUGUAUUGCCAUUAUGAUGAUAUCAUUUAUUAAUUAGACGUGGGCUGACUGGUACUUCUGACUUUUUUUCAUCCAGUGCUCUCUCAGUGCUGUGCUUGGGACUCAUCCAAAAGAGUUUCUGCUGCCAGAGUGGAUGUUUAUUGUGUAAUUUUUCCACUGUGUCCUGGACUAAAGAGCACUGCCAGUCUCCUGGUUUGUAUAGGUCUGUACCAGGACUCUCUCCCACCUCUCAUCUUGGACAGAAUAGAAUACUAAUGGAAUCCAACACAGGAACUUAAUACUGAUGUUCUUCCAGCUAAACACAGUUGUAGUGAUAGGGUGAUAGGCAAACUAAAGCAGCAGCACAAGCAGUGAUCAGUGUCUCACCAUUUGACCAAUAGAAACAAACCUCUGCAGUGCUGAAGGUGGAGUGACAGCCAAACCAUCAAAUCAGGCAGAAGGAAGGUGGCCAUUACUGCAGCAAAGGAGGAAAUCGGCAAUAAACAGCGUUACUAUCUGACUUGCACUGUAGGGGCAUAUGGAGGCGGGGUCAGGCAGGAGGAAUUCUUCCCAAACUUCACAACACACAGCAACGGGGAAGGAGGCGGUGCACAGUCGUCUGUGACGUACAGAAGGAACUACAUCUCCCAGAAUGCAUCGCUCACACAGAAACAAGGUCAACAUGCAAUGCAAUGCAAUGCCUCCAUCCAUCCUCUCUGAAAAUGUUCAUCUGCCUGAUUGAAAACUCCUGCGCUCCGUGACUUUCUGACACCCAAGACUAUAUUCAGGGCCUAUUUUAAAUCUCAGUCCCGUCUGCAAUUGCCUCACAUGAAAUUGAAAGGGGCAGAGAACACCUAUUUAUUUUUAGCGUUACCAGAUUUUGGGCUCUGUCUGACAGUCUCCUGUUACUCAUUAGCAUUCCCCCGAUUUCUGGCAAAAAUCCAAUGUGCACAUGGGCAGAACAGCGGAGUAAUAUGUGCAGUGCAUAAUCUUCAGGCUUCAUGUGUGCAUGUGCAUGAUGUUGCUUCCAAUGACAAAAUUAUCAACAAGUCCCUCUGUGACAAAUUAAGAAAGUUGAAAGAUCUGCACACACACACCCAGGGCCAUCAUCAGGGGGACACAGGGAGUAACAGUUGUACUGGGCCUAAAGCAGUAGCGUCACUAGAGGGGGGCGGGCCCUGGUGCGUGACGUGCAGCCGGGCCCCGCCCCCUCCGUACGGCCGCAUUUGUCAGUGGCACGUGAGCUGCCGGGGGGCCCUGAGGGGGUGCGGGCCCUGGCCCGCUCGCACCCCCUGCUCCCCCCGUAGUUCCGCCACUGCCCUAAAGGGGUGCUGCUCUUUCCGAAUUAGCAGGCCCCCCUUGGCAGCCUGUAAGCUGAAUCCGAAGUGCAAUGUCCCAAAGACCUGGAAACCCAAAGACACAAAGUCCCGAAACCAUGAAAGGAGGCAAAGGAAACAAGAAAAAAGAACCUGAGUUAAUUUAAAGGUGAACAACCCCUUUAAGGAGGACCUGGUUGUGCUGCAUUUCCCGGAUUAGCCGGGCUCCCCUUGAGUCGCUAAAGCCACCGGAGAGAACGGAAGAAGAGGAGGAGAAUGAAAAGGAACACACCAAACUUUAAAGUUAAGUUCCAUUGAAUGCCAAUGGGCUUUUUUUUUUAUUUAAACUCAGGCUAUGAUUUUUUUUUUAACUUUUAUGGGGGGACCCUGGCCACCAGUGAUUUUUUUGUAACUUUUAUGGGGGGGACCCUGGCCACCAGUGUUUUUUUUACUUGUAGGAGGCACCCUGACCAAUGCAUUUUGUAGUGGGGGGGACUGCCACUGAUCUUUUUUUUAACUUUAAGGGUGGGCUGGCCACCAAUGUUUUUUAUAAAUUAGGUGGGGGGGCUAAAGGAUGUGCUGAUACCGAGUGCCUGUUUCACUGAUAUUAAUAAAUUGUCAGUCGAGCAUUCUAAUGUCAAAAUGUGCUAUUCAUGCAGUGGAUACUGUACCUUUGUUGUUAUAUAUAGAAACAUACUAGAAGUGACCAUGGAGUUCUGUGAGCAUAUAAAGGACAAAGACUGAGUGCUCUUAUACACGUCAUAAAAGUUUCCGCACGGGACAAAAAAACAGCAUUUGAACAAGAAGGUGCUGAGAAUUGUUCAUAUUAGUCAGUGAAAUAAAAA
This is a long non-coding RNA of Xenopus laevis (African clawed frog), 2150 nucleotides long. RefSeq lists it as uncharacterized. The transcript is spliced from 3 exons. The record is from RefSeq and is a predicted model, not a curated record. NCBI's taxonomy places the organism in Eukaryota, Metazoa, Chordata, Amphibia, Anura, Pipidae.